AACGAACGCUGGUGGUAUGCUUAACACAUGCAAGUCGAACGGACCUUGGAAGCUUGCUUCCAAGUAGUCAGGUGGCAAACGGGUGAGUAAUACAUAGGAAUCGUACCUAACAGUACGGAAUAACUCUGGGAAACCAGAGCUAAUACCCGUAGUAUUACCGAGUUUAUCGGGAAAGAUUUAUCGCUGUUAGAUGAGCCUGUGUCAGAUUAGCUUGUUGGUGGGGUAAUGGCCUACCAAGGCGAUGAUCUGUAGCUGGUCUGAGAGGAUGAUCAGCCACACUGGGACUGCGACACGGCCCAG
RNAcentral lists this ribosomal RNA (300 nucleotides) under uncultured bacterium. Its description in RNAcentral is "bacterial SSU rRNA". It matches the Rfam family "Bacterial small subunit ribosomal RNA", at positions 29 to 334 of the family's 1533-position model. The record is from RNAcentral.